Molecule: unclassified non-coding RNA, 389 nt
Filed under: Hevea brasiliensis (rubber tree)
Lineage: Eukaryota; Viridiplantae; Streptophyta; Magnoliopsida; Malpighiales; Euphorbiaceae
Source: RNAcentral
AACAGAGCCGAAUGCACUUUUAAUUUUUCCUUUUUUCUUUUCUUUUUGUCCUUCCAACAAAAUAAGGGAAUCAUCUUUUUUACCUCCUUCCCCUAUCAUUUUUCUCUCCCUCUACUCAAUACAAAAUAUACAUUAAUUAAAGAUUCUUCAUAAAUAUUAAUCUUUUAAAUAAUAUUUUUCUUAAUAUAAGCUCAAACAAUAAUGUCAAAUAGACUCUUAUAAUGCCAUAAUAAUUAUAAUAAGUGAAUAAAUAAAUAUAAAAAAACAUAAAAAUUUUAUAACAAAAAAGCGAUGCACUAAAAUAUUGUUCAUCACAAUGAAUCAAUAUACUCAAUAAAGUUAAAAAAAAAAAAGUCUGAUGAUAGAAUAGGGGCUACCUUAAAUCACAG